RNAcentral lists this long non-coding RNA (623 nucleotides) under Lathyrus oleraceus (garden pea). RNAcentral describes it as "Pisum sativum (pea) long non-coding RNA (PSAT_LNC019781)". The record is from RNAcentral. Lineage: Eukaryota; Viridiplantae; Streptophyta; Magnoliopsida; Fabales; Fabaceae.
GCUUUGUAGAACAAUCUUAGGGUUUAUAUGAGAGGGAAUUGGUUCUUUGCAGAUGAGUUCCCUUCAGUCUCUGGAGGUUGCUCUGAAUUAGUUAGAAUCUCUCUAGCCUUGUUCCAAGGAAACCUCAGAGUGUUUUCAGCUUUCACCAAUUCUCCCACUCCUCCUUUUUCUUUACUGAAAUUUCAGAAUUUAUAACUUGAUCGUGGGCUCAAAUGAGAGAGGUCAAAGUCCAAGAUUUUUCGGUUAUAUAUUUUUUUUGUUUUGUUUUUUUUUCUUCUUUUCUUUUUUCGUUUUUUUUUAUAUUUUCAAAAUGCGUGGGCUUCGCCUAGUGAGCAUGACAGUUCUGGAAAUUCCUCUGAGCGCAGGUGAUUCUUGUGGCUUUUCUUGGGUCUCACUAGGCGACCCAUUCUGCUCGCCUAGCGAGCAUGACAGCUCAUGAACAAACUUUUGCUCCUUUGAAUAAUGAAUAGACCCUAUUUGAACAUGUUGGAAGUAACUCAAGUCAUUCCCUGGCCAUUUCACCUUCAGUUGAACAAACUGUAUUAAGCCCAUUAAGCUUGAUCCUUCAGAUAGAACCCACAAAGUGACUUGAAUGAUAUCCGAGCUUCUUGAAAGAUAAACUC